AAAUUGAAGAGUUUGAUCAUGGCUCAGAUUGAACGCUGGCGGCAGGCCUAACACAUGCAAGUCGAGCGGAAACGAGUUAUCUGAACCUUCGGGGAACGAUAACGGCGUCGAGCGGCGGACGGGUGAGUAAUGCCUAGGAAAUUGCCCUGAUGUGGGGGAUAACCAUUGGAAACGAUGGCUAAUACCGCAUGAUGCCUACGGGCCAAAGAGGGGG
RNAcentral lists this ribosomal RNA (214 nucleotides) under Vibrio alginolyticus. RNAcentral describes it as "partial 16S ribosomal RNA". It matches the Rfam family "Bacterial small subunit ribosomal RNA", at positions 1 to 210 of the family's 1533-position model. The record is from RNAcentral. Lineage: Bacteria; Pseudomonadati; Pseudomonadota; Gammaproteobacteria; Vibrionales; Vibrionaceae. RNAcentral also lists the same sequence under 2 other names.